Anguilla anguilla (European eel) is the source of this 828-nucleotide non-coding RNA. The record is from the annotation of a RefSeq genome assembly. Lineage: Eukaryota; Metazoa; Chordata; Actinopteri; Anguilliformes; Anguillidae.
CAGCAUUAUGAUGAUGUCAAACUUUCUACUGCUGGUGAUGCUGGGACUCCUUGUACAAGAAUCAAUGGCAGAUAUAGUCCUGACUCAGGAUCCAGCAGCUCAGUCUGUUCAGCUGGGAGACACUGUCUCUAUCAGCUGUACAGCCAGUCAGAGUGUGAGCAGCUACCUCAACUGGUACCAGCAAAAACCUGGUCAGGCUCCUAAAUUUUUGAUUUAUUAUGCCACAACUCCCCAGUCUGGGAUUCCUGAUCGUUUCAGUGGGAGUGGAUCUGGGACUCAGUUUACACUAAAAAUCACUGGAGUCCAGGCUGAAGAUGCAGGAGAUUAUUACUGUCAGAGUGCUCAUUAUAUCAGUAGUAGCUGGGUGUUCACACAGUGAUACAGAGCCGUACAAAAACCUCCCUCAGUCAGACUGCACAGAGACUUCACUGCUGCAGCUGGGACCUACUGCAGGUGCUGAGGGGGGAAUCACUGGUCUGGAACACUGAGCUGCAGUGUAUAUUAUGAAAUGUUUUAUACUCUCAAAUCAAAACUAUUACCAUAUAUUUUCAUUUCUGUGUAUUCAAACUUUUAAUUAGGAAUGCAAUGUGGCAGAAUUUCCAAUGGCUUUGCUUCAUAAUCUCUCCCUGGGCAGUAGACAUUUGUUGUUCUGAAGCAGUGCACUGACAUAAAAUAUCAUAUUUCCAAACGAAUUCAUUCUUUAAAAGUUUCAAAGAAGAUAUCACAGCAUGCAUCAGCAGUGAACAGCAGGCAGUCCAGCACAGUGGAGUCACUCAGUCCAGAGCUCUCCCAGCACACAUCACACAGGCUGCUGUUACACACCCUGAC